GAUGAACGCUGGCGGCGUGCCUAAUACAUGCAAGUCGAGCGAACGGACGAGAAGCUUGCUUCUCUGAUGUUAGCGGCGGACGGGUGAGUAACACGUGGAUAACCUACCUAUAAGACUGGGAUAACUUCGGGAAACCGGAGCUAAUACCGGAUAAUAUUUUGAACCGCAUGGUUCAAAAGUGAAAGACGGUCUUGCUGUCACUUAUAGAUGGAUCCGCGCUGCAUUAGCUAGUUGGUAAGGUAACGGCUUACCAAGGCAAGGAUGCAUAGCAGACCUGAGAGGGACAUCGGCCACCCUGGAACUGAGACACGGUCCAGACUCCUACGGGAGGACGCAGUAGGGAAUCUUCCGCAAUGGGCGAAAGCCUGACGGAGCAACGCCGCGUGAGUGAUGAAGGUCUUCGGAUCGUAAAACUCUGUUAUUAGGGAAGAACAUAUGUGUAAGUAACUGUGCACAUCUUGACGGUACCUAAUCAGAAAGCCACGGCUAACUACGUG
RNAcentral lists this ribosomal RNA (497 nucleotides) under uncultured bacterium. RNAcentral describes it as "partial 16S ribosomal RNA". It matches the Rfam family "Bacterial small subunit ribosomal RNA", at positions 28 to 507 of the family's 1533-position model. The record is from RNAcentral.